UAGAGAAAGCCCGUGUGCAGCAACGAAGACCCAAUGCAGCCAAAAAUAAAUAAAUUAAUUAAUUAAAAAAAAAAAAACACACAGAGCUGUGUCAAUGCCAAGCCCAGAUCCUGGGAGACAGAGGUGCCUGUGUGUGACUAUCAGGCCCUCCGAGGUCGCAGCCCAGGGCGGCACCCGCCAGGCGGUGGAGGGGAUGCGGACUGUCCUAGGAACAGGAGGGUCCGGAACAGGUUCCUAAGUCUGCCUUAGAAAGAGUCUCAAGUUGAUUCCCAAGUUCAUUCAGAUCCACGGAACCAGAACUCCCUCGGCAAAGGCCCGAAACCUGUGCCUUCUGCAAGCGUCCCAGGUGAUCCAGCGCAAGUAACCGAAGGAGGCGGGGCCUGGGCGCGCACGCGCGGAGGGGCUGCAGGGAAUGGUGCCUGUGGAGCAACCCGGGAGGAGGAAAGGGGCCUGGAGGAGGCGGGGCCUGAGAACCUGUCCGAGGGCGGGGCGGGGCGGGCCUGCAGAGACAAAGAGGGGGAGGAGCCGGGCGGGAGCCGACCCGCUCACCGUGCGCCGGCUGGGGCGGCCCGAUUCGGGCUUUGGGCUUCGGCGGUGAGUCCGGCGCGGCGCCGCUCCGACCCCGCUGAACCGCGGAGCCCGGGAGCUGUAGCCUCGCCCCAGGCAGGCCGGGCGGAGUGGUGGUGGGUGGGCUUAUCCCGCUUGCCCGCGCGGCGCCCAUCCAGCUCCCCUGCUUUAUUAUGGAUUGACCCGCGCGCCCGGGUCCUCACGUCAACGCAGAGCGUCGGCGUCCCCGGGAGGCACCUGUCCCGGCUAGCCUCGUAGCUGACGCCGCGGAAGGGCCGGGGCUCGGUCCGGACCCCCCGGGCCCGCCGCCCUCCCCUGCCGGCUCUCCUCUCCGCAGCCCUCUGCCCUCGCCUCGGAGGGACCGGAAGCCGGCUUGGUGGGCAGCUCCCCGGCCGCCGGGCCCCAGGGACAUGGCUGUGCACUUCACGCAGGAAGGAGGGGCACGUCUGGACCCGGGGCAGAGGGCCCUGUAUAGAGACGUGAUGCUGGAGACUUAGAGCAACCUGGCCUCCCUGGGAGUUCCAGGAUCCAAACCAGAUCUGAUCUCCCAGCUGGAGCAAGGAAAGGAGCCCUGGGGCUCGGACCUGCUGGGGUCCCAGGAAGGAGAGACCGUGGGAGACCCCAGCACAGAUUCCAGCCGGGGGUCUUUGCGUAAGCAGGUGAUGGCGAGGGUGAAAACGACUCAAGCCUCAGAGCCUCCAGAAGCAUCUGGAAGGUUCUCAGGGGGUGGGCCUCCAACACUGGUCUGCAGAGAAGCCGCCGGGCACGAGGGCAGGCUAGGGAGCCUUGAGAACUUCCUUUUCCGGGAGAGACAACCACACAGAACCUACUGGGCCAUCUCCAAAGCAGAAGGUGCCCAGAAAGGCGGUAAAUGGGGACCCGAACUUCUCCGCAGCCCGCGCCCUGGGGCCCGUGAGAGAAACAUGAAACGGCAGCGAGCCCGCACGUGCGAAACGUGCGCCAAGAGCUUCCGGUACCUCUCGCGCCUGUGAGACACCGGGCCACGCACAGCGGCGAGAAGUCGCACGCGUGCGGGAGUGCGGCCGCGCGUUCAGCCAGCGCUCGCACCGGGCGCAGCGCCGCAGCGCGCACGCGGGCCAGAAGCCGCACACCUGCGGACAGUGCGGCCACGUGUCCACAGCGGCGAGAAGCCCUUCGGGUGCCAGUGGUGCGGGAAGCCCUUCAGUUACAGCACCCUCCUCGCCCAGCACCAGCGGAUCCACACCCGAGAGAGGCCGUUCCGGUGCGCGAGGUGCGGGAAGAGCUUCAUCUGGAAGUCCAGCUUUCGGAACCACCAGAAAUCACAUCGAGGCAGCGUGGACCUCUGUAAGCUAAGCUCUGGAAGCAGCCGCUGGAGGGGAGAGCUUGGGACUCGCUGCUACUCCAAGGAGCGCCCCGGAAGGAUGUCCCCGGGCACGUGGAGCAGUGCCAGAGCGAGAGCAGCACGAGGGACCGGAUUGUUCUCCACCCGCGAUCAGCCUGUGCAUUUCGGGUCCUUCCCACGACGGGGGUGGCCCAGGCCUGCCCGCCCCGGCGAGCGCCGCCCGGCAGCUGGAUUCCGCGUGGCUGUGGUACUUCUUGGGCAAGUUGAUGGUUUGAAAGUCGCUAUUUUCAAGUGCAUGCAGAUUUUAUUUUUGAAACUUAAAACGUAGGUCUUUGUCUCCAUUUGCAUCAUAGGUGGGUUCUAAACGCCUUUGAAAUCCUAGUUUUAGAGCUAUGUAAUAAUUGCAUUAUGUUGGAAUGGUUUGAGAGGAAGUUUUGAAAUUGCUUUUUGAGAAAAUGUGCUUAUGUGGAUAUCAGGUUUUCAAGGAGUGGAUUGUAAUGAACAGCUCUUGUUUCAGCCCAUCCCACAUCUAUCCCCUCCUUCUUUCUUUUUGUAAGAGCACCUCACCUUUGGUUUGCAGCACUUCCUAGGAUCUGUUGUAGGAAGUCACAGUGGUGGUCUCAGUCUGGGUGCACCUCCUCCUGUGGCCACUGGUCAACCCGGGAGGAAGCUAAGGCAAUCAGACCCUCCCCUCCAGUCCAUCACUGAAGGAAAAGGUGUGUAUAUAUCUCAUGUCAUCUGUGAAUAGUGAUAGAUUCACUUCUUUCCAA
Molecule: long non-coding RNA, 2661 nt
Organism: Aethalodelphis obliquidens (Pacific white-sided dolphin)
Lineage: Eukaryota; Metazoa; Chordata; Mammalia; Artiodactyla; Delphinidae
Exons: 4
Source: RefSeq, a predicted model, not a curated record